RNAcentral lists this long non-coding RNA (9150 nucleotides) under Hordeum vulgare. RNAcentral's name for it is "long non-coding RNA (HVUL_LNC003732)". The record is from RNAcentral. Lineage: Eukaryota; Viridiplantae; Streptophyta; Magnoliopsida; Poales; Poaceae.
CAGUACAAUCGUCACCAAAACAAUACGUGAGGUUUAAGUUGUCCAAAAAUAACACCUAAAAAAAAGUACACAAACGCUCGUCGUCACCCAAUCAUAGAUUUUGAUUUUCAUCAUGUGGCAUAUGGCAUAUGGCAUAUGGCAUCAAGAUGCUAAUUUUACUCACAGACAUGUCAUCCAUCCUCAUGCAGAAUUGAUCAAAUGUGAGGUGACAUCAGAGGCGUCUUCCAGCACUAAACAAAAUUCAGCAUCCGCUCAGCAACUGCCACCAAAGGUCAACAUUGCUGUCAAUGAAUAGAUUAGAAAUCCUUGCAUAGAGGAAGGAUUUAAAAUUGCCUGCCAAUGAAAAGAACUUCUCUUUCGUUCAUUAUUGCUAUAUUGUAUAUGGGGAGGCUUCCACGGGCAAAACAACCCUACCGGAGUGUUUUUCUUAAACAAAACAACCCUAUUUUGGGCUGCAUGAUUACGAGGCGUGGAGAGAUAUUGUAUUUUCUGUCUUUACACGUAGUAGUACGCUACUGGGUCCAGUCUACCUUCUACUGGCCGGAAUCUUGCACCAGUGGCCCGGUCGCUACGUUGGCGUUCUCAAGAAAAUACUCCGUUAAGAACAACUCCCGCUUCAAUCCAUUUCAUCUACGCACGUCUGUUUGGAUUGUGGGAGAUCGAAAAAUCGUUCUAAUGCAUCGAUUCAAAUAAACGCGCGUUCGUUCUCCGUUCGCCUGUUAAUUCAUUUUCAAUCAUUUUUAGCCCGAUUUGUGUCGGCGUGGACAUAAGAUAGACGCACACGCUGAGCGCCAACUCCUCCUCCUGGUCCGCUAGUCGGUGGCAAAGCCUCCAUCAUUUUCCUUCAUUUUUUUGAAACCCUCCCACCCCCGCGCCCUCCUUGCCGCUUGCCAGGGACGACGCCCUUGAUGCCACCGCCGGCCUCGCUUCCCUCGCCUCGUGCGUCAUCACGACCGCCCCCUUCCACAAAGGUAAGCCUCAUGCCCCCCACAAGACCGUCACCGUGCCCUAGAAGAAGAAGGAGCUGACGCCCGAGGAGCAGGCUAGGGAGUCGACGAAGAGAAAGGGUUGUACCAAAUUGAAGAAGUUUCCAUCGUGAAUUUCACGAAUGCAAGAAGUUUUCACCGUAUCAAAUGCAAAGCACGCAUGGGUGGGUUUUCAUUUCAAAGCGAUGGACGGUGAUCCAGCAAGAACGCAAUAAGUUUUGUGCCUCUUAUGAGAGCAUCAAGGCACGCCCGUGAGUGGCAUCGACAUGAAAGACAUGGUAUGCAUGCAUACACCCCUCUUUGUUUGCAUGUUCAUUUGCUAAUAUGCUUACAUGUAAUUCAUUUAUAGGCAUUUCAAGCUUUUGAGGCAUUCAAGGUGCAACAUGAAGGCAAGUUCUUCAAACUUUCUCAUUGUUGGAGGAUCAUCAAAGAUGAGGAAAAGUUCAAGCUCCAAUAUGCCUCCCUCACAGUGCAUGAGGGGAAGGAAGCCGUGGAGGACGUUGGGGAGGGUGAGAAAUCACGACCAGUGUGAAAGACCAACUCGAAGAAGGAGGACAAGCGGGAUGCGUGUCGAUCGCCUUGAUCGCAACCGUGAAGGGCAUGAUGACCAAGAAGGAUUCAAGGGAGGAGAAGCGCCGGCAAGACAGUCAAGAGCAAAUGAACGGCAUCAUGGAGAUCCAAAGGAGGAGGCUUGAGAUGGAGGCGGAUAAGCAAGUCAGGAUGCUUGAGAUGGAGCCGGAGAAGCAAGCCAAGAUGCUAGAGAUCAAGGCCGUCAAUGUCAAGACCAAGGCGAAAGAAGUGGCUCUCGCUAGCAUGAUGACACGGGUGGAGAUCAUGAAGGUGGAUCUCAACACCGCGCCGCCAAGGAAGAGCCGUGGUUCGAGAAGAUGCAGGACGACAUGUUCAAGUUCGACGACGAGUGAUCUAUGAUGGCGAGCGACAUCAUUUUUUGUAUGCCAACAAGUGUGCUCGCAUGACCACGGUCGUAAUGGCAUGGUUGAACUCCUGCCAUUUUUUGUGUGUUGGCAUAUGUGCCGGCCGCUGGCAAGUGCGUCGGCAUGAACUAUGUGGUGUUUUCUAAAUUUGGCAUUGUAUGCCGGCCGCUGGCAUAGUGACAACACGAACUUUAGGCGACGCCAUGGUGGAUAACUGGAUCUACGCCUUUUUAAAUGUGUGUUCGGACAUAAAAUGGAUCGUGGAUGUUGGACGCACUGUUGGUACAAAUAUUAAAAAGGGCGGACGCUGAACGAACGACCGAUCCGGACGGACAAAAGUGAACAAGAACACCGUCCAUUUAGAUCGGCGCAUUGAAGUUGCUCAAACUUAUGAAUUUAUCACGCUGAUCAGGUUUUAGGGUAGGAUUUAUCUCUUAUAAUUCUAAGCCUCUUCCACACUGAUAAGUUUUGAAUUUUGUGUCCCAAGAAACUAAACUAGGUUUGCUGCCUGAACCAUGCUGUCCUUUUGUCAUAGAAGAGCAACGCUAUCUAAUAAUCUGAAAUGCAAAGUCAAGCAUCACGGUCACAGCGCCGAGUAUAGAUUGAAAUGGAGAGGCGACGUACGUAACAACCAUAGACCAUCAGGAUUAGUGGUUAAGAUCCAGUUUUUCUAGUACGAUGUAGAGUAGAAGAGAACAAAGAUUAAAAGGCAUGAUUAGAGAGGAGGAAACGUUCGAAAGCUAAUGUGGAUUUACGGCGCACCGUAGGUAAAGCACACGGAGUUUAACGCUCUUGACCAAUGACAUCAGGAAUCAAAUUAAGAUGCCAAAGUUUAUUCAGAGACAAAAUGAAAGCUCGAUCUGAAAGAUCCGUGGAUCCUCUAGGUUAGAUGGAUCCGGUAGGUAGUCGCGUUUUACCUUGCCCCCAACUCGAUGAGCUCCCGCCGUCGUUCAUCGUAAGGUGGUGACGACGGUGGGGAAGGAUAGAUGGGUGUGGCGUGGGUGGUGCUUCCCGUGAGCACCGCGCUAACCCUAGAUCGUAUGGGUUUGUAGGUGGAGAGUGUGGCGACGGCGAACCUCGUAAUCCGUGCCCCGACACUCCACCUUCCUUUAUAUAGCGCGGGUCACAGGGCCCAUCAACCAUAACGGGUUGGGCGCCCCCGAUCAGGGCGCAUAGAUCAGGGUCCGGUGGGCCGUUGGGCCCACUUGGGAGGAGAUCAACCUAACAUUCUUCCCCUUUAUCUCAACUUUUACUUUUAACUUUAUACUUUCUAGUUUAUUUGUUCCAUCACAUAUAGGCAUGUAGAGCAUGUCUCAUCGUCAUAGCUUAAUUGCCGAUAGAAUCAUACAGCUACAACACAUGUUUAGUUUUGAAACAAAUUCAUUUACUUUGUGCCUCUUAUGAUCCACGAAUCACAGGCUUUCCAUCAAACCCAUGCCGGCUAAGUGUUCCUUGAACACACUGGGUGGUAAGCCUUUCGUUAGCGGAUCCGCAAGCAUGUUCUUCGUACUUAUAUGCUUGAGACUUAUAGUUUGAUCCUGGAUUUUAUCUUUCACAACAUAAUACUUUAUAUCUGUUGUCUUGGAAGCAUUACUCGACUUGUUGUUGUGAGCAUAAAAUACUGCGGGCUGGUUGUCAUAGUAUAUCUUUAGUGGCUUGUGAAUACAAUCUACCACUUACAAUUCGGGUAUAUUUUUUUAACCAUAUCACUUGCCCGGUGGCUUCAAAACAUGCUAUAAACUCUGCUUGCAUCGUGGACGAUGCAACUAUGGUCUGUUUGGAGCUUUUCCAUGAAACAACUCCUCCAGCGAGAGUGAACACGUAUCCAGACGUGGAUUUUCUAUCAUCUCUAUAUCCCGCAAAAUCUGCGUCUGAAUACCCUUUUAUCUCUAGGAAACCAGAUCUUCUGUAUGUUAGCAUGAUUUCCUUUGUGCCUUGCGCAUAACGCAAUGCUUUCUUUGCCAUCUUCCAGUGCUCUUGGCCUGGAUUUGCUUGAUAUCAACCGAGUACCCUGGUGAUAAAAGCUAAGUCAGGGCGUGUGCACACUUGUGCAUACUGUAAACUUCCAACAGCCGAAGUCUAUGGCAUUGUUUUCAUUUCAUCGAGCUCGUACUGAUUCUUGGGACAUAGGUAAUUCCGAAAACUAUCGCCCUUGACUAUAGGAGCAGGUGUGGCUUUACACUUAUGCAUAUUAUACUUCUUGAGAUCUUUCUCUAAUUAUGCUUUCUGCAACAGUCCCAAGACUCCAUUUUUCCUGUCUCGGUGAAUUUCAAUGCCCAAAACAUAUGAAGCAUCACCAAGGUCUUUCAUAUCAAAGUUUGAGGAUAAAAACUUCUUGUUUCUUGUAGUAGACUAAUACAAUUGCUUGCAAGCAAGAUAUCAUCCAUAUACAAGAUUAGGAAAAUGUAUUUCCCAUUUUUAAACUUUGCAUAAAUGCAGUUAUCCUCAACAUUUUCUUUAAAACCAAACCUUUUAAUAGUAUCGUUAAACUUUAGAUACCACUCUCUAGAGGCUUGCCUUAGUCCAUAAAUGGAUUUCUUUAGGCGGCAUCCCAUAUCUUCCUUGCCUUCCAUGAUAAAACGCUUGGGUUGUUUCAUGUAGACAUCUUCUUCUAAAUCUCCGUUUAGAAAUGUCGUCUUUACAUCCAUUUGAUGCAGCUCUAAAUCAAAAUGAGCAACUAGUGCCAUUAUGAUUCUGAAGGAAUCCUUACAAGAGACUGGAGAAAAAGUCUCAUUGUAGUCUAUCCCUUCUCUUUGUGUAAAUCCUUUUGCUCCAAGUCGGGUUUUAUACUUUUCUAUAUUCCCAUUAGAGUCAUACUUUGUUUUGUAGACCCAUUUACAACCUACUGUCUUUGCUCCUUUAGGAAUAAUUUCUAAGUCCCAAACAUCGUUGGAAUUCAUCGAUUUUAUCUCAUCUUCCAUUGCCUCUAGCAAUUUUUGAUGAGUGAGGGUUUUUAAUGGCUUCUUCAUAUGUGGUGGGAUCACCUUCCAUAUGAACCAUUUCUGUGUUAUAGACUUUAUAAUCAGUAGAAAUAGCUAGUAUUCUUGUUCUAUUAGACCUUCUAAGUGCCUCAUUUUCUGGCAUAAUUUCUACUAUUUCUUGCUGCACUUACCUUUCAUGAUCAACAACAGGUUCAGUCGGCUCCUGAGGGACAGGUUCCGGGUUUUCUCCCAUAGUUGUCAUCGUUGGACUCACAGCGGGUAGUGAGAAAAAUGGCUCUUGACUCAUUGGAUUAGGUGCAUGCACCCUCUUCUCCUCAAGAUAAAUUUUCCGAGCUAUGAAGCUCCCCCUCAUCAUUUCGUCCUCUAAGAAGACCGCAUGUCUCGUUUCUACAAACUUUGUGUAUCUUUCUGGACAGUAGAAACAAAAACCUUUUGAUCUAUCAGGAUAGCCAAUGAAAUGGCAACUCACUGUUUUUGGAUGUAACUUUCCAAUGUUUGAAUUAAACAUUUUGGCCUCAGCUGGACAUCCCCACACCCUGAAGUGUUGUAGAGAUGACACUCUUCCUGUCCACAGCUCAUGCGGUGUUUUGCGCACCGACUUGCUUGGUACUCUUUUAAGAAUGUGAAUGGCCGUUUUAAGCGCAUCCAUACACAAUCCCAAUGGCAGGUCCGUGUAACUCAUCAUGCUGCGUACCAUAUCCAUUAGGGUACGGUUGCGCCUUUCAGAUACCCCAUUUUGCUGAGGCUCGCCCGACAUUGAAUACUGGGCAACUAUGUCAGUCUCCUGCAAGAACUUUGCAAAAGGUCUAGGGACUUGGCCAUAUGGAGUGUGUGGACCGUAGUACUCCCCCCCACAGUCAGACCUCACUAUCUUUAUCUUUUUUGUCAAGCUGAUUUUCAACUUCAGCUUUGAAUAUUUUGAAUUUAUCCAAUGCUUCAUUUCUUUCUUUGAUUGGAUAAAUGUAACUGAAGCGGGAGUAUUCAUCUGUGAAUGUUAUGAACAAAUCAUAACCAUCCACACUUUUCACUGGAAAUGGUCCACAAAUAUCAGUGUGAACAAUUUCCAGUGUUCCUGUGCUUCGGUUUGCACCCUUCUUUAUCCGUUUUACAUACUUUGCUUUAAUGCAAUCUAUGCAUUGUUCUAAGUCAGAGAACUCCAACUGAGGAAGAAUUUCACUUUUGACUAAUCUUUCUAUUCCCCCCUGGAAAUAUGUCCCAAGCGAUAGUGCUAUAAUUUCGAGGAGUCAUGAGUUCUCUUUAUUUUCUUUUGUUCUUUGUUCGAUGAGGAACUAUGCUCAUUCACAUUAUUUGCAUAAUGUACUUUUCAAGAAGUGAUAACAGAUAAAGCUCAUUAUGGAGGAAAGCAUCGCCUACAUAAUCAUUAUUAUACCAAAUGGCACAUUUGCCAUGUACGAAAAAGCAUUCAUAAUUGUCUUUAUCCAAGCAUGAGACACUUAUGAAAUUCCUAUUACAUGAAGGCACGAAUAGUACAUCUCUAAGCAAAAGCUUGAAUCCAUCGACUAGCUCCAAGGAGACGUCACCUACAGCUUCAACUUCUGCUUGGACACCAUUAGCGACUUCAAUGCUGCUUUCUUUUCUUCGCAUGGUCCUCGUCGAACUGAAUCCCUGUAAACAGUUUGUAACAUGAAUAGUUGCUCCUGAGUCAAUCCACCAAGUAGAUUUCGAAAACUUUAAAUACAGAGAUUCAUUUACAAAGGAAACGCUGUCGUUGCCUCUCUUUGCCAUGAGGCCUUUAGCCAGGCAUGGCAGUCCUUCUUGUAGUGCCCUGACUGCUUGCAGUAGAGACAAGUGUCCUUGUCCACUUGAAUAGGCCUUUGCUGAUAAUGAGCGGGAGCUUUGCCAUGUGGCUUUGAGGGAGAACCUCUGUUGGGUUGCAAAACCUUUUUCUUUUCCUUCACAUAGUUCACGGAGCCACCAUGUGAAGCUUUGAUUCUGUCCUCUUCCUGUGAAUACAUCGCUAUGACCUUUUCUAUGUCCCAUGUGUCACGUUGCAUGUUGUAGUUCACAACAAAGGUCUCAAAUUCCUUUGGCAGCGAAGCCAUGACCAAGUGGACGAGGACAGCUGGUUUGAUCUCCAGAUCCGCAUCCAUGGGCUUGAGCUUGGCUACCGUAUUGCUCAUCCGCAGGAUGUGCUCUCUUAUGCCAUGGCCACCUCCAGUGUAGCUCUCUGUGACCAGUUGUCUUAUCAACUGGGUGGCAUAUGUCUUUGAAGAGCUAGUGAACUCACUCUUUAUCUUGGUUAGCAUCUCCGUUGCAGAAGUGCACUCUGGAAUUGAGCCCACAAUGGUGGUCUCAAUUGUGUUCUUUAUAAUGCCAAACAUUUUUUGUUCGCAUUUAUCCACUUUUUGUCGUUUAUGGAGUAUGACAUCUCCUUAUUGACACUAUCCCAUUUCUUUUUCUUCCAAGCCUCAUCAUCAUCAUUAGCAUCUCUGACUGGGUCUGGAGGUGCAACCGGCUUUGGUUCCUCCAGAACCUAGUCCACCUCAGCAAUGACAAGAGCCAUGUCAACUUUCUUCCUCCACUCAGAGUAAUUAUCACGUUUGAGUGUAGGAACAUCCUUGAGGCAAAUCAUUAGGUGGAAACCUCCUGAAAUCACAAUUUAAGCUAGAUCAGUACAACAAUUAUAUGCAUUAAUUAACGUUGGUCAAAUUAAAUAUACAAUAGUCUAUGCAAAUAAAUCUACAUUACUGUUGGGUAAAUGAUAGAAAUAAAUGCAUCUUUUAUGCCAAUAAAGCAACAUGAUUAUGUUAUUAACAACGUUGGUUAGAAAAAUAACAUAACCAUAUUUCAUAUAUCACUUAGCAGCGGAAACGUGAAUUUAAAAAAUUCAUGUAAUUUUCUACUUUACAGAAAAAAUGUUCCGUUAUAAUUAAAAAAAUCAUGAACUUUCAUAAUCCCUUUUAUAAAAUCCAUGAACUUUUCUUUUUCUGAAAAUCUAUUUUUAUUUGAAGAACCUUUUAUUUUUCUUUUCAGAAAAAUUAUCAUUACUUUUCUGUCUAUUUUACAGAAAAUUUCAACGUUUUCUUUUCUUUUUACUAAAAAAUAUUUUUGUUGGAAAAAGUUGAGUAGAAAAGAAAUUAGAAACUGUGUAGAAACUGUCUAAAAAUUAGACAAAACUGGGGCUGUGGCCACUCUGGGCCGAAAGCCUCUCUAGCAUGGGGCGCCACGUGGGCCUGCCCCGGCUCGGCUAGCUCUCUCCCCAUCGUCCUGGCACCUCCCUUUGCCUAGGCCGGCGCUUGCUUCCUGGCCUGUGGCCUGGCGCGACGCACCUCUCGCCGGCCUGAGGCCUCGCCUCGACCUGCCAACCUUUUGCCUCGGUCCGAGUGGCCGUGCUGCCUCCCUUUGGCCCAACAUGGCCUGGUGAGGCUAGGGUUUCGCCCUGGACCGUCGGAUCUAAUCCGACAGCUGGGCGCGACUUUCUCGUGCGACAAAACCGGUCACAGCCACACCGAGCCGAAACCCUAGCCCAUUCGUUUUCCUCCAACGCCGCUCCCCUCUCCUUCCUGUCUCUCGCUCGCAGCAGCGGCUGCCCAGCCCCGCCGGAGUGCUGACAGGUUGGUCUCCUACGGUGGCUGUCACUACGCGGAGGGCACUAGAGCUGGCCGCCGGUAGCGGCGACCAAAGGUCCCGUGCCGCGCGCGCCACGCUUCACUUUCCUCUCCCCGGAGCCGUAGCCUUCCCGUCGCUGGCUGCGCACACGCCUUGCGGUGUGUGCGCCGUCGUCGAGCGGUUGGCUGCGGUUCCCCUACUUCCUUUUCGUUUUGCCGUCCACCACCAUGAGCAGAGAAAACCCCCGGCUGCGUGAUGCGACGGCGCCAUCGCCGUCUCCUUUGCCGGCGUGUGCGAGCACCUGUAGGGUGAACGCGCCGCCGUCAAACGGCUCGGUGGUGGUGCCCUUUACCCCUGUGGGGUUAACUUUCUUUGCAUGUUCCCCUUUUCUUUGGAUUUUUUGUUUGCCUUUUUCGGAUCCAAUACGAUUUGUUCUUUGCCUCCGAAGAGGUAGGUUCUUCUUCCCCACACCUCGGCUUGCCGAUGCGUGUGGGGAUCGAGAGGAAUAGGCGCAGCCUUGCGGCGGCGCUCUUUGCCGACGAGGCCCGAGGCCAUCUUCGGUGCUUUUGGGGAGGGGGAUCCUUUGCUUUCGUUUUCUUCUUUCAACCGGAACACAUCUAGUCCCUAGCGGCUCAUGAUACCAUUGAUAGAUCCGUGGAUCCUCUAGGUUAGAUGGAUCCGGUAGGUAGUCGCGUUUUACCUUGUCCCGAACUCGAU